CCUUAGAGUUUGAUUCUGGGUCAGGACGAACGCUGGCGGCGUGCCUAACACAUGCAAGUCGAACGGGGUCGGCCCCUUCGGGGACUGACUUAGUGGCGAACGGGUGAGUAACGCGUGAAUAACCUGCCUUUCAGUGGGGGACAACAGUUGGAAACGACUGCUAAUACCGCAUGAUGUUUCCGGGAGGCAUCUUCUGGAAACCAAAGCUUUAUGUGCUGAAAGAUGGAUUCGCGUCUGAUUAGCUAGUUGGUGAGGUAACGGCUCACCAAGGCGACGAUCAGUAGCCGGUCUGAGAGGAUGAACGGCCACAUUGGGACUGAGAUACGGCCCAGACUCCUACGGGAGGCAGCAGUGGGGAAUAUUGGGCAAUGGGGGAAACCCUGACCCAGCAACGCCGCGUGAAGGAAGAAGGCUUUCGGGUUGUAAACUUCUUUUACCAGGGACGAAGGACGUGACAGUACCUGGAGAAAAAGCAACGGCUAACUACGUGCCAGCAGCCGCGGUAAUACGUAGGUUGCAAGCGUUGUCCGGAUUUACUGGGUGUAAAGGGCGUGUAGGCGGAGAAGCAAGUUGGGAGUGAAAUCCAUGGGCUCAACCCAUGAACUGCUCUCAAAACUGUUUCCCUUGAGUAUCGGAGAGGCAAGCGGAAUUCCUAGUGUAGCGGUGAAAUGCGUAGAUAUUAGGAGGAACACCAGUGGCGAAGGCGGCUUGCUGGACGACAACUGACGCUGAGGCGCGAAAGCGUGGGGAGCAAACAGGAUUAGAUACCCUGGUAGUCCACGCUGUAAACGAUGAAUACUAGAUGUCGGGUAGCAUAGCUACUCGGUGUCGUCGCAAACGCAAUAAGUAUUCCACCUGGGGAGUACGUUCGCAAGAAUGAAACUCAAAGGAAUUGACGGGGACCCGCACAAGCGGUGGAGCAUGUGGUUUAAUUCGAAGCAACGCGAAGAACCUUACCUGCUCUUGACAUCCCAUUCGAUAGAAGGUAAUGCUUCUAGCCCUUCGGGGGAAUGGAGACAGGUGGUGCAUGGUUGUCGUCAGCUCGUGUCGUGAGAUGUUGGGUUAAGUCCCGCAACGAGCGCAACCCUUAUUGUUAGUUGCCAUCAUUCAGUUGGGCACUCUAGCGAGACUGCCGGUAAUAAACCGGAGGAAGGUGGGGAUGACGUCAAAUCAUCAUGCCCCUUAUGACCUGGGCUACACACGUGCUACAAUGGUUGGUACAACGAGUCGCAAGUCGGUGACGGCAAGCUAAUCUCUUAAAGCCAAUCUCAGUUAGGAUUGUAGGCUGCAACUCGCCUACAUGAAGUCGGAAUCGCUAGUAAUCGCGGAUCAGCACGCCGCGGUGAAAACGUUCCCGGGCCUUGCACUCACCGCCC
RNAcentral lists this ribosomal RNA (1376 nucleotides) under uncultured bacterium. Its description in RNAcentral is "partial 16S ribosomal RNA". It matches the Rfam family "Bacterial small subunit ribosomal RNA". The record is from RNAcentral.